GGAGCGUUGCCAGAGCGGUAAUGGAGCAGAUUGCUAAUCUGUCACGGUGUUAUAGCCGUGCGUAGGUUCGAGUCCUACACGCUCCGCCA
This 89-nucleotide transfer RNA is filed under the name Rickettsiales bacterium. RNAcentral's name for it is "tRNA-Ser". It matches the Rfam family "tRNA". From Rfam's summary of the family: Transfer RNA (tRNA) molecules are approximately 80 nucleotides in length. Lineage: Bacteria; Pseudomonadati; Pseudomonadota; Alphaproteobacteria; Rickettsiales. The record is from RNAcentral.